CCUACGGGAGGCUGCAGUGGGGAAUAUUGCACAAUGGGGGAAACCCUGAUGCAGCGACGCCGCGUGAGUGAAGAAGUAAUUCGUUAUGUAAAGCUCUAUCAGCAGGGAAGAAAAUGACGGUACCUGAGUAAGAAGCCCCGGCUAACUACGUGCCAGCAGCCGCGGUAAUACGUAGGGGGCAAGCGUUAUCCGGAUUUACUGGGUGGAAAGGGAGCGUAGACGGCAGUGCACGUCUGGAGUGAAAGGCGGGGGCUCAACCCCCGGACUGCUAUGGAAACUGUACGGCUGGAGUGCAGGAGAGGUAAGUGGAAUUCCUAGUGUAGCGGUGAAAUGCGUAGAUAUUAGGAGGAACACCAGUGGCGAAGGCGGCUUACUGGACUGUAACUGACGUUGAGGCUCGAAAGCGUGGGGAGCAAACAGGAUUAGAUACCCGUGUAGUC
This 440-nucleotide ribosomal RNA is filed under the name uncultured bacterium. RNAcentral describes it as "partial 16S ribosomal RNA". It matches the Rfam family "Bacterial small subunit ribosomal RNA", at positions 338 to 795 of the family's 1533-position model. The record is from RNAcentral.